UGAGGAAUAUUGGUCAAUGGGCGCGAGCCUGAACCAGCCAAGUAGCGUGCAGGAUGACGGCCCUAUGGGUUGUAAACUGCUUUUAUGCGGGGAUAAAGUCGGCUACGUGUAGCCGUUUGUAGGUACCGCAUGAAUAAGGACCGGCUAAUUCCGUGCCAGCAGCCGCGGUAAU
RNAcentral lists this ribosomal RNA (172 nucleotides) under uncultured rumen bacterium. RNAcentral describes it as "partial 16S ribosomal RNA". It matches the Rfam family "Bacterial small subunit ribosomal RNA", at positions 355 to 524 of the family's 1533-position model. The record is from RNAcentral.